GAUGAACGCUAGCGGCAGGCCUAACACAUGCAAGUCGAGGGGUAUCCCGCUUUCGGGCGGGAGAGACCGGCGCACGGGUGCGUAACGCGUAUGCAACCUACCCUGUACUGGGGGAUAGCCCGGAGAAAUUCGGAUUAACACCCCAUAGUACUAAUGAAUGGCAUCAUUUAUUAGUUAAAGGUUACGGUACAGGAUGGGCAUGCGUCCUAUUAGCUAGAUGGUAAGGUAACGGCUUACCAUGGCUACGAUAGGUAGGGGGCCUGAGAGGGUGGUCCCCCACACUGGUACUGAGACACGGACCAGACUCCUACGGGAGGCAGCAGUGAGGAAUAUUGGUCAAUGGGCGCAAGCCUGAACCAGCCAUGCCGCGUGCAGGAAGACGGUCCUAUGGAUUGUAAACUGCUUUUAUUUGGGAAUAAACCUCUUUACGUGUAGAGAGCUGAAGGUACCAAAUGAAUAAGCACCGGCUAACUCCGUGCCAGCCGCCGCAGUAA
RNAcentral lists this ribosomal RNA (494 nucleotides) under uncultured bacterium. RNAcentral describes it as "partial 16S ribosomal RNA". It matches the Rfam family "Bacterial small subunit ribosomal RNA", at positions 28 to 523 of the family's 1533-position model. The record is from RNAcentral.